This 148-nucleotide non-coding RNA is filed under the name Homo sapiens (human). Lineage: Eukaryota; Metazoa; Chordata; Mammalia; Primates; Hominidae. The record is from Rfam by way of RNAcentral.
GCUGGGCGUGGUGGCGCGCGCCUGUAAUCCCAGCUACUCAGGAGGCUGAGGCAGGAGAAUCGCUUGAACUCAGGAGGCGGAGGUUGCAGUGAGCCGAGAUCAUACCAUUGCACUCCAGCCUGGGUGACAGAGCUAGACUCUGUCUCAA